GACGAACGCUGGCGGCGUGCUUAACACAUGCAAGUCGAACGGAAAGGCCCUGCUUUUGUGGGGUGCUCGAGUGGCGAACGGGUGAGUAACACGUGAGUAACCUGCCCUUGACUUUGGGAUAACUUCAGGAAACUGGGGCUAAUACCGGAUAGGAGCUCCUGCUGCAUGGUGGGGGUUGGAAAGUUUCGGCGGAUGGGGAUGGACGCGCGGCUUAUCAGCUUGUUGGUGGGGUAGUGGCUUACCAAGGCUUUGACGGGUAGCCGGCCUGAGAGGGUGACCGGCCACAUUGGGACUGAGAGACGGCCCAGACUCCUACGGGAGGCAGCAGUGGGGAAUAUUGCACAAUGGGCGGAAGCCUGAUGCAGCAACGCCGCGUGCGGGAUGACGGCCUUCGGGUUGUAAACCGCUUUCGCCUGAGACGAAGCGUGAGUGACGGUAAUGGGUAAAGAAGCACCGGCUAACUACGUG
Molecule: ribosomal RNA, 468 nt
Filed under: uncultured bacterium
Lineage: Bacteria
Description: partial 16S ribosomal RNA
Rfam family: Bacterial small subunit ribosomal RNA
Source: RNAcentral